CUACGGGAGGCAGCAGUAAGGAAUAUUGGACAAUGGGCGGAAGCCUGAUCCAGCCAUGCCGCGUGAAGGACGAAGGCGCUCAGCGUUGUAAACUUCUUUUGGAUGGGAACAAUAACUAAGACUUGUCUUGGCUUGAGGGUACCAUCAGAAUAAGCACCGGCUAACUCCGUGCCAGCAGCCGCGGUAAUACGGAGGGUGCAAGCGUUAUCCGGAAUCACUGGGUUUAAAGGGUGCGUAGGCGGUCUAAUAAGUCAGUCGUGAAAUCGCUGGGCUCAACCCAUGCAAUUGCGAUUGAUACUGUUAGACUUGAAUGGGGUUGAGGCUAGCGGAAUGCGGCAUGUAGCGGUGAAAUGCUUAGAUAUGCCGCAGAACACCGAUUGCGAAGGCAGCUAGCUGGGCCUUUAUUGACGCUGAGGCACGAAAGCGUGGGGAGCAAACAGGAUUAGAUACCCCCGUAU
RNAcentral lists this ribosomal RNA (458 nucleotides) under uncultured bacterium. Its description in RNAcentral is "bacterial SSU rRNA". It matches the Rfam family "Bacterial small subunit ribosomal RNA", at positions 339 to 793 of the family's 1533-position model. The record is from RNAcentral.